CACGCCGUAAACGAUGAUCACUCGCUGUUUGCGAUAUACAGUAAGCGGCUAAGCGAAAGCGUUAAGUGAUCCACCUGGGGAGUACGAUCGCAAGGUUGAAACUCAAAGGAAUUGACGGGGGCCCGCACAAGCGGAGGAACAUGUGGUUUAAUUCGAUGAUACGCGAGGAACCUUACCCGGGCUCGAACGGUGCAUGAAUAUAAAAGAGAUUUUAUAGUCCUUCGGGACAUGUAUCGAGGUGC
RNAcentral lists this ribosomal RNA (242 nucleotides) under uncultured Bacteroidota bacterium. Its description in RNAcentral is "uncultured Bacteroidetes bacterium partial 16S ribosomal RNA". It matches the Rfam family "Bacterial small subunit ribosomal RNA", at positions 796 to 1041 of the family's 1533-position model. Lineage: Bacteria; Pseudomonadati; Bacteroidota. The record is from RNAcentral.